This is a long non-coding RNA of Cucurbita maxima (winter squash), 104 nucleotides long. RefSeq lists it as uncharacterized. The record is from RefSeq and is a predicted model, not a curated record. The transcript has 3 exons. Lineage: Eukaryota; Viridiplantae; Streptophyta; Magnoliopsida; Cucurbitales; Cucurbitaceae.
UAAUAAAUGUUUGUGGAUAAGAUAGCUAAGCAUUUGAAUCCAUAAUACAACAGCUAAAUCAUGCAAGUUAUGCAAAUAUAACCUGAUUGACAGCUUCACCGAAU